GAGUUUGAUCGUGGCUCAGGACGAACGCUGGCGGCGUGCUUAACACAUGCAAGUCGAACGGUAAGGCCCUUUCGGGGGUACACGAGUGGCGAACGGGUGAGUAACACGUGGGUGAUCUGCCCUGCACUUUGGGAUAAGCCUGGGAAACUGGGUCUAAUACCGAAUAUUCCUUGUUGGUCGCAUGGCCUGGUGAGGGAAAGCUUUUGCGGUGUGGGAUGGGCCCGCGGCCUAUCAGCUUGUUGGUGGGGUGAUGGCCUACCAAGGCGACGACGGGUAGCCGGCCUGAGAGGGUGUCCGGCCACACUGGGACUGAGAUACGGCCCAGACUCCUACGGGAGGCAGCAGUGGGGAAUAUUGCACAAUGGGCGCAAGCCUGAUGCAGCGACGCCGCGUGAGGGAUGACGGCCUUCGGUUGUAA
RNAcentral lists this ribosomal RNA (418 nucleotides) under uncultured Actinomycetes bacterium. RNAcentral's name for it is "bacterial SSU rRNA". It matches the Rfam family "Bacterial small subunit ribosomal RNA", at positions 9 to 428 of the family's 1533-position model. Lineage: Bacteria; Bacillati; Actinomycetota; Actinomycetes. The record is from RNAcentral.